RNAcentral lists this unclassified non-coding RNA (304 nucleotides) under plant metagenome. RNAcentral's name for it is "partial contains 5.8S ribosomal RNA, internal transcribed spacer 2, and large subunit ribosomal RNA". The stretch from base 1 to 103 matches the Rfam family "5.8S ribosomal RNA", at positions 52 to 154 of the family's 154-position model. The record is from RNAcentral.
AAUGCGAUAAGUAAUGUGAAUUGCAGAAUUCAGUGAAUCAUCGAAUCUUUGAACGCACAUUGCGCCCGCCAGUGUUCUGGCGGGCAUGCCUGUCCGAGCGUCAUUUCAACCAUCAAGCCCCCGGGCUUGUGUUGGGGACCUGCGGCUGCCCGCAGGCCCUGAAAACCAGUGGCGGGCUCGCUGUCACACCGAGCGUAGUAGCAAUCACCUCGCUCAGGGCGUGCUGCGGGUUCCGGCCGUUAAACAGCCUUACAAAACCCAAGGUUGACCUCGGAUCAGGUAGGAAGACCCGCUGAACUUAAGC